CCUACAGUCGUGCUUUGUUCUGCAAAUUACAAGCUUUUACCUCAAACAGUGGAACUUGAUGUAUGUCUGUAUUUUUUUUCCCCUCCCUCAUUUCAGUGAAGAACUUGGAAACUGGCAGAAGCACUCCAGGAGUAAAGAUGUUUUUUGGCCAUGAAAUAGUCAAUGUGGAAUUGCUGGAUGAACCAAAUUCAGGGAAGGCAACAGCAAUGCUCCCUGAGUGCACUUCAGCUGUUGAAGGGAACAAACAAGCUGACACAGGACCAGCAAAUUGUGGCCCAUGGAGGAGUCCUUGUGUUUCCCUAGAGGGCCAGCUCAGAGCUGCAAAUAGCUUAAAAUACUCCCUCUCAGAGAAGAAGGAAGAAGAGAAUGUGGAAUACACAGUUGUUGAUUGUUUCCAGCAGAAAUUUGGCCCAGCAGUAUUACACCUAAAACAGCAGUGUGUUGUCAGUAUAGCAGGAGAAGGUGUUAAUUUGUGUCGUCAUGGAAAACUCUCAUGGCUUGAGAUAGCAACAGAGAGAUGUAUUUUUCUAUUUGAUAUCUUCCUUCUGGGACCUCAGGCUUUCAAAAAUGGAUUACAAAUGGUGCUGGAAGAUAAAAACAUCUUGAAGGUCAUGCAUGACUGCCGCUGGAUCUCAGACUGCCUCUUUCACCAGUACGGUGUCCUGCUCUGCAAUGUCUUUGAUACGCAGGUUGCUGAUGCUCUGCAGUUCUCAGUGGCAACAGGCGGCUUCCUUCCGCACCGUGUCUGCACAUUAGAGGAGUGUUUGAUGGAGCACUUGAAGAUAUCUUCCAAAUGGGAUGCCAUCAUGAAGUGCAGGCAGCAGAUGGUUUCAGAGAAUCCUGACAUAUGGUUCUUGAGACCUUUUCCAGCUUCUCUGCUUAAAGCCCUUGCUCUGAAGGCUAUGUACCUUCUGCUGCUCCACUCUUCUCUAAUGGAUAAUUUGAUGUCUGACCUAACAGCUGUAGUACAUGGUUAUUUAAAUGCUUAUCGGACUGCACCUGGAGAUCACCUUGGGAGCACAAAGUUACAAUUUACACUUGUGCUCCACCUUGGACCCUUGGUGAACAACAGUCUGGUACAAAGAGCUUCACUUCAUCUUGGAGUCAGUCUCCAACAACAGCAACACUGGAGUCCCUAUGCAUGAUGACUAUUCUCCAGACGUGACCUGGCGCAGUUCCAACACUACUUCAGCAGAAGUAAUGGAUCUCCUUGGAUUCUGAAGUAAAUACCCAUGCCAGGUAAACAUUUUGGAAACCUGAAAUAUGUUAUCUACUGCGCUUUCUCCAUACUGGAGAACUGGAAGAGAGGCCUCUCUUGCUGAAGCAGGACUGCAGCAAAGCCAAAGACAAUAAAUGCUCCAGGGCUGUAAAGAUAUCUUGCACUACUUCGGCUUCUAAAUUGGAAGAUGGACGUAGUUUCUGAGUGAAGAGGAACCAGCUAUGGUACAUCAAGCCUUUACUUGAAAGUUGUGGGAGUGAAAGCCACUAGGCAAGACAGUCUCCAAGUUACCGUGGCCUCUUUGAUUUGCCGGCACUUGGAGAAGAUGACCAGAUCUGGAAACUGACUGACUUCCAUCACUCCAGAUCAAGGGGUUCAGCUUCUGGGAGCAGAUCUGGACCAGAGUCUUCUCCUCUUCGAAACAGCAGCAAGGAAAAAUGAAUAUGAGAGUAAAAGCCAAGCCUGUUCACUUGCCCUUAUGGAUCACUGCAUACACUGAGAGUUGAGGAAAGACAAGUCUGAAUAAGGCUGAUGAAUGUAAUUGUCACCACCCUUCCUUGGGCUCUGUACGCCCAGUCUCCACAGUCUGUUUUCUACACGCACCUCUUGUUCCUCAGUGAGAACUUUGUGUGCUCUAACAGGCCCCCGUUAGUGGCAGAAUACAAGAAUCACUUUCUGGCUAAACGCUUACCUCCUGCUAGGGUCAGAUCAUCCUUGUGGCCUUCAACAUGUUCAGGAGUGCUUGAUUUCAGACUUAAUUGCAUAAUUGUAUGUAUCUGUGUCUAUAAUUUUGCCUUGUUUCUUGAACAGGUGGGGGUUUUGUUUUGUUCCAGCUUGUUUCAACAGAAGCUUGUGCUUUCCCUUUACUUAAGACAAGUUUUCAUAAAUAAUUUGAUGGGAACAAAGUCCUAGAUUGUCAGAGGCCAUAGAUAAGCUGGUAGAAAUGGAGAUUAAUGACAAUUUAUUGCUUUCACAGCAAUAAACUGGUAAGAGCAGAGCAAGCCACAGUUACGUAUUUUGUGCAAAUAGUACGUUUGAGUCUCUGAUUUGGAUGUCAUAAUUCUCAUGAGCAAUCACAGCAGUCACUGGUGGUAGUCCUCGUUUCAGCUGAGGUGUCAGCCAUCUUUUCUUCGCCUUGAUCUUUCAGAUGUUUUGAUGGAAAUGGCAAAGAAACAGGGUCCUUAUGGUCAGCCAGUGGGCAGCCCUUCCAGCAAGGCUUCCACCUUGCUUCUGGAUGGCACAACACAUUCUUUUGUCAUUUGAUAGUUGUUUCAGCAGUAACAGAAGAUGUACUGAGGGGCUGGGCCAUGAGCUGCUAUGCCAGGUGGGAGAUGUGCUGUCAAGGUGUCAGGACGCAACUCCAUGGAUUAGAGCUUCCUUCAGGAAAGCGUUGCAGAAAAGAUGGGUGUCAUGCAUCCUAGCAGUUGCUAGCAACUGUAAAGUAUUGCCAGUGGUCCACAGCAGCCAAAAAUGAUAAUGCAACACCCUUGUUGAUGUAGUACUGGGAGAAGAGA
RNA transcript from Egretta garzetta (little egret), 2733 nucleotides. It is a transcript of the gene named exonuclease 3'-5' domain containing 1, with no coding region annotated. NCBI's taxonomy places the organism in Eukaryota, Metazoa, Chordata, Aves, Pelecaniformes, Ardeidae. The record is from RefSeq and is a predicted model, not a curated record. The transcript has 11 exons.